This 587-nucleotide ribosomal RNA is filed under the name uncultured bacterium. RNAcentral's name for it is "bacterial SSU rRNA". It matches the Rfam family "Bacterial small subunit ribosomal RNA", at positions 258 to 842 of the family's 1533-position model. The record is from RNAcentral.
UAACGGCCCACCAAGGCGACGAUGCGUAGGGGUUCUGAGAGGAAGGUCCCCCACACUGGUACUGAGACACGGACCAGACUCCUACGGGAGGCAGCAGUGAGGAAUAUUGGUCAAUGGGCGCGAGCCUGAACCAGCCAAGUCGCGUGAGGGAAGACGGUCCUAUGGAUUGUAAACCUCUUUUGUCGGGGAGCAAAAGACGCCACGUGUGGCGUUCCGAGAGUACCCGAAGAAAAAGCAUCGGCUAACUCCGUGCCAGCAGCCGCGGUAAUACGGAGGAUGCGAGCGUUAUCCGGAUUUAUUGGGUUUAAAGGGUGCGCAGGCGGAAGAUCAAGUCAGCGGUAAAAUUGAGAGGCUCAACCUCUUCGAGCCGUUGAAACUGGUUUUCUUGAGUGAGCGAGAAGUAUGCGGAAUGCGUGGUGUAGCGGUGAAAUGCAUAGAUAUCACGCAGAACUCCGAUUGCGAAGGCAGCAUACCGGCGCUCAACUGACGCUCAUGCACGAAAGUGUGGGUAUCGAACAGGAUUAGAUACCCUGGUAGUCCACACAGUAAACGAUAAGUACUAAUUGUUCGGGGAGAAUGAUCCCUGA